RNAcentral lists this ribosomal RNA (429 nucleotides) under Bacillota bacterium. RNAcentral's name for it is "Firmicutes bacterium partial 16S ribosomal RNA". It matches the Rfam family "Bacterial small subunit ribosomal RNA", at positions 355 to 776 of the family's 1533-position model. Lineage: Bacteria; Bacillati; Bacillota. The record is from RNAcentral.
UAGGGAAUCUUCCGCAAUGGACGAAAGUCUGACGGAGCAACGCCGCGUGAGUGAUGAAGGUUUUCGGAUCGUAAAACUCUGUUGUUAGGGAAGAACAAGUAUCGGAGUAACUGCCGGUACCUUGACGGUACCUAGCCAGAAAGCCACGGCUAACUACGUGCCAGCAGCCGCGGUAAUACGUAGGUGGCAAGCGUUGUCCGGAAUUAUUGGGCGUAAAGCGCGCGCAGGUGGUUCCUUAAGUCUGAUGUGAAAGCCCACGGCUCAACCGUGGAGGGUCAUUGGAAACUGGGGAACUUGAGUGCAGAAGAGGAAAGUGGAAUUCCAAGUGUAGCGGUGAAAUGCGUAGAGAUUUGGAGGAACACCAGUGGCGAAGGCGACUUUCUGGUCUGUAACUGACACUGAGGCGCGAAAGCGUGGGGAGCGAACAGG